ACGCACGUGUGAAACUUGAAGGAAUUGACGGAAGCGCACCACAAGAACGCGUGGAGCAUGUGGCUUAAUUUGACCCAACGCGGGAAAUCUUACCGGGUCCGGACACACUGAGGAUUGACAGGUGUUUCGUUGGAUUAGGCGGGACAAGCUUAAGGGCUUCGGCUUUUCUGCUUGCCUUCUCGUUCUAAUACCUUCAUUUCAAAUAUGCUAGUCCUUUCAUGAUUGUGUGAUAGGUGGUGCAUGGCCGUUCUUAGUUCGUGGAGUGAUCUGACUGCUUAAUUGCGUUUCACUUAUGGCAUCUUUGUGUUACUACCGUAGUGUUGACCGCACUGCUGUUCAUUCAGUGGUGACGCGUCCGUUGCGGAAAGCACAUGACUGCCUCGAAGGCAACGAACGUGACC
RNAcentral lists this ribosomal RNA (401 nucleotides) under Foraminifera environmental sample. Its description in RNAcentral is "SSU rRNA". It matches the Rfam family "Eukaryotic small subunit ribosomal RNA", at positions 1129 to 1445 of the family's 1831-position model. The record is from RNAcentral. Lineage: Eukaryota; Foraminifera.